Molecule: long non-coding RNA, 4432 nt
Filed under: Sus scrofa (pig)
Lineage: Eukaryota; Metazoa; Chordata; Mammalia; Artiodactyla; Suidae
Description: lncRNA (ENSSSCG00050034606.1)
Source: RNAcentral
UGAAAACUUCAAAAAAAUAUAUAUUUAUAACAUAUUUGUCACUAGUAUUAACAUAUAAUACCACUAUUACAUAGAUUAAAUUGCUAAAAAAGGUAGAAUCUUUAGCAAAUAAAGCAUAUCUGCAAUAUUAAUAAUAAUUCUUUAAACAGCCAUCUACCCCAAUUAGGAAAGGUACAAUAAUGAUGAACUAGAGUUUGAGGUUUUUUUUGGCUGCACCCAUGGCAUGUAGAAGUUCCAGGGCCAGGGCUCAAACCCAUGACACAGAAGUGACUGGAGCUACAGUGACCCAAGCCACAGCAGUGACAAUCCCAGAUCCUAACCCACUGUACCACCAGGGAACUCCCGAAGUUUUAAUUUUGAAGAGAAGGAAUUAAGCAGGAAGAGGAAGAGAGGAAUAAUAUUAAUAGGAGAGAGAGACAUGGUGAAAAUAUAACUCUUUGGGGGUUUUUUGUGUUUUUUUGUUUUUUGUUUUUUGUUUUUUUUUUUUUUAGAGCCACUCCCUCGGCACAUGGAGGUUCCCAGGCUAGAGGUCAAAUCAGAGCUAUAGCUGCCGGCCUAUGCCGCAGCCACCUCAAUGCAAGAACCGAGCCGCAUCUGCUACCUACACCACAGCUCACAGCAAUGCCAGAUCCUUAACCCACUGAGCAAGGCCAGGGAUCGAACCUGCAACCUCAUGGUUCCUAGUCGGAUUCGUUUCCACCACACCAUGAUGGGAACUCUGAAAAUAUAACUCUUUGGAAUACACCAUUCUAAGAGUUGUUUCUGGUAAUAUCAUAUACUACUGUUAUCCAUAAUAGGAUAAUAAAGAUGGGAAGAAUCAGCCAAAAACAAAACAAGAAUUAUCAAAGAAUGAGGGAGGCCAGUCCCAAAAUAAGAUUUCCAAGCCUAUAUUACUAGAUAAUUUAUUUGGGCCUGAAAAGUGGCCAUCAUGUGGCCAGGAAAUGUGAAACACCCAUUGUGUCUAUUCACUGACAGAAACAUGAUGCAGUUUCCAUAGAAACAUUCUGUGCCCCAUCUUUUUCAAAGAGCAGUCAGUAAAUAGUUAAUAACACUCAUUUUAACAAAAAAUUUACUGGUAAUAAAGGGAGUUACAAUAGAAACCUGUCCUCAACAUAGUUUACUAUGGAAGAUGAGACAAAUAUAAAUGAAACAAAAAGAUAACAUACCAUGUUAUUUCCUUUUGUCUUCAGAGAGUAUUAGUCAUUAAAACAAGUGGAACAAGAGAAUAGAGAAUUACACAAGUGAACAGUUCCUGGAGGUGAUUCCUACACACAGUGGAAUCAAGAGUCCUAAUCUUUGUGUCCACCUAGUAAAAGUAACAGUCAUCUCCAGAAGGGACAGGAGAGGUUGACACAUGAAUAUGGAAAACAGAAUUUCCAAAUUAGGGAAGCCAUGUUUCAGUGCAAAUUACUCUACAGCACCGCUCACCCCCAACAAUGCCUUUAGAAGAAUGGAAAGCGUGAUUCUGCUGAUUGUUGGAGAUAUUUUUUCCCCAAGUCGCUUAAAAAAAUUUGUAGAGUUAUAAUUUACAUAUAAUUCACUCCCUUCAACUGUACAAUUCAACGAUUUUUAGUAUACUUAAAGAGCUGUGCAACUAUCUUAUCACAUCAUUCUAAGAGGCAUAGAGUUUUAAGUGUUUGGAAAAUCACUGAAAAAUUGGGUCUUGCGACUUCAACUCUUACAGUAACUAACUCUGAAUUUCUUUCUUUCCUUUUUUAUCCUCAAGGCAAAAUACGGUGCUGACACUUUAUACUUACUGGAUUGAAUCGAAAGCGUUUAAAAAGUUCCUUUUGAGGAAGUAAUUUACAUAAAGUGUUGAAAAUAAGGCAGCUUCUGAGAACUAAAAGGGUAAAAUCCAUACUUAAUAAAUUAGCUGGUUGUGGGAGCAAUCUAUAAAACUGUCUGUGGAUGUGUAACUGAGGAGUUUAGAAACACUCCAAGGCUCCAAUUAAGAUGAGGAUAUAAUCUCAGGAGCCAAAACCGAAGUGGUUACAAUCAGGUUAGCAGAAAUCAAUUCAACUGUCUAGCAACUGUUUAGAGAAAGAAGAUAAGACUACAGAAAGAGAAUUGCCAAUCUUGACCCAGUAUUAUUCAGGGAACAGAGAGACAAAAUCCAGAGGGUGUGAUCCUGUUGAGGGGCAGGGAUCAUUUAUCAGGUCUCACCAAGACCUGAAUCAACUCUCUCUCAAAACAAUUCACUCCCUUUUCUUUUGAUUCCUCAUUUACUAAGAAACUGCCUGAUUUGCUUUCUAGACCUGCCAAAAGUUUUCUUGGUAUGUCUGAAUAUCUGAAUAUCCUGGUUAUCAAAAAUGAAUUGCCUAGGAGUUCCUAUCGUGGGGCAGUGGAAAUGAAUCCGACUAAGAACCAUGAGGUUGCGGGUUGGAUCCCUGGCCUCACUCAGUGGGUUACGGGUCCAGCGUUGCCUUAAGCUGUGGUAUAGGUCCCAGACACAGCUCGGAUCUGGCGCUGCUGUGACUCUGGCAUAGGCCAGGGGCAACUGCUCCAACGAGACUCCUAGCCUGGGAACCAGCCCCAAAAAAGACAAAAAAAAAGAAAAAGAAAAAGAAAAAGAAAAAGAAUUGCCUCACCCCGCCCCCAGCCCCAAACAAAUGAACAAAUGGUUUGGAUAUUUGUUGUCUUGCUUUUUACUCUUGUGGACCAAAACAUGCCAGUCUGGGACACUGACAGUAGAAGAUCACACCCUUAAAUGUAAUCAUUUUCAGCUAAUGUCAUCCUAGGAGAUCUGAUAAACAGCCGCCCAGACUUUUCCUGCUAGCUCCUGACCUUGUCAUAGACCCUAGAACCUAUAAUUUGGUGACAUUCAAAUAAAAUAAGAGAAGCUGAUAGAGAAAUAAGAAUGUCCUAUUCACUGUAUACUAAAUUCUACCCGCAUACCUGAACAAAAUCAGAAAUGGCUGCAUUAAAUUGGACAAGAAUAAAUCGAAGCAAAUUCAUGGUUUUCUUAUUUUUCUGGAAUGAAGAUGCCUUGAAAUUAUAAGCACUUAUGUUUAAACUACUUUGGUUAUUAUCAACUUAAUAUUAAUCAACAGAAGACAAAUCUGAAUAACAACAAGUGAAUGGAGAAAGUUAGAACAGAAAGAAACUGUGCUCAGUAAACCUACUGAAUGUAAGAACCAACACAUUGUACACCUGCAAUUAAAAAAAAAAAAACCUCUCAUCUCUUCUGCUACUAACCAAAUAGGACUAAAUAAAUUUGUUGAAAUAGUGUCCCUUUUAGUCAGCUUCUCAUUUUAAAAAUUAUCAGUGUCUUCUUUUAAAUUGAAAGUUUGGUUUAAAAAUAUAUCAUUGAGGAGUUCCUGUUGUAGCUCAGCAGGUUAAGAAUCCGACUUGGGAGUUCCUGUCGUGGCACAGUGGUUAACGAAUCCGACUAGGAACUAUGAGCCUGGAAUCUUCCACAUGCCGCAGGAAGAAAAAAAAUAUCUAUCAUUGGAGGAUGAUCUAAAAGACAAAAAAACUGUGCGAUACCCAGUUUUGAAAACCAUCAGAUUUCAAGGACUACUACUAAAGAUCUUCUGUGAAUCUGUUGAGCAGCAAAUUAAAUUUGCAUUUUGGGAUUACUGAGAACACUGUUAAAAUACAUGCAAUCGCCUUUUAGAACUGAAAACAUGACCUUCUGAAAAAUCUUUUUAAGGCACUUUGGAUCUUGAAUAUACUGUUUCCUUCUUUACUGUGACUGCCAUGAUGACUAGGGUCAAAUUUGUAAUCCAUCUUUAGAACUCACAAAUUUUUACUGCAGCCAUUUUGUGUAUUAACUUUAUCCAUGACUUCAUUUUAAUUUCCCCUUAUAUUCUCCGUGAUUUCUCCAUUCAAUUGCAAUAACGUUUUCUGGUAUCUCUGUAAACAGCAUCACAUCACUGGGGAGAGGGAUUGAUGCGAAUAAAUAAAAAUGAAGAAAAUCAUCCUCUCAAUCAGGGUGCAGACCUGUUUCAGCAUAUUUAUGACAGGGUUUUUUUUUUAAUUUGAAUUCACCAUUAAUAUUUUAAAAUCCCAGUAUUUCAUAUAAAAAUCCAGAUUUCAGAUGGCUCCGUGGCAAAAUGUAACAAGUUCUUAUCUCCCUGGACCAACAUGCUGGCGAGAUGAGUCCUUAAGCCGCCACUUCGGUCUCCAGUGGUCACAGAAAUCCUCACACAUCCACUUUGCUCAUUCAUAUUACCUGAGAGAUUUGCUAAUGAGUUCCAAAAAAGGAAGGAACGUCAGGAUUCUGCAAUACAAACAGGAGGGCGCGCGUCUUUUUCGUUCUUUGAAAGACGUUGUAGAAAUAACAGACACAAUUCAUUCUGCAAACCUUCACUGGACCUCUCCGCUGCGCUGGGCCCUGGCGAUAGGUGAUUUAAAAAAGAAGCAGAGGUCUGGGUCCUGGUUGGCUGAUGCCGCCAGGAAUUACCGCCACGAGCACAAGGAGCGUUGAACU